CUACGGGUCGCAGCAGUGAGGAAUAUUGCACAAUGGGGGGAACCCUGAUGCAGCAACGCCGCGUGGAGGAUGACGCAUUUCGGUGUGUAAACUCCUUUUAUAUGUCAAGAAAAUGACGGUAGCAUAUGAAUAAGCACCGGCUAACUCCGUGCCAGCAGCCGCGGUAAUAAGGAGGGUGCAAGCGUUACUCGGGAUCACUGGGCGUAAAGGACGCGUAGGCGGGUUGGAAAGUCAGGUGUGAAAUCCUACAGCUUAACUGUAGAACUGCACUUGAAACUUCUAAUCUAGAGUAUGGGAGGGGGAGAUGGAAUUAGUGGUGUAGGGGUAAAAUCCGUAGAUAUCACUAGGAAUACCUAAAGCGAAGGCGAUCUCCUGGAACAUUACUGACGCUAAGGCGUGAAAGCGUGGGGAGCAAACAGGAUUAGAUACCCGCGUAGUC
Molecule: ribosomal RNA, 439 nt
Filed under: uncultured bacterium
Lineage: Bacteria
Description: partial 16S ribosomal RNA
Rfam family: Bacterial small subunit ribosomal RNA
Source: RNAcentral